AAUGACACAAAUGAAUAAGUAGAUAACUCCCUAAUUCCCUCAGAAUUAGGGAGCUAUCUACCAAAAGGCUGAAAGACGUAAAUUGGUCUUUCAGCCAAAUUUACUAAUACUAAGUAAAGAUUACUUAGAAUUAGUAAAUUAUGCCCCUACUCGCUAUACCGCGAGUAGGGGCAUGUCUAGUAAACAGUGAGCAGUCUGUGG
This 201-nucleotide long non-coding RNA is filed under the name Pelobates cultripes (western spadefoot toad). The record is from RNAcentral. Lineage: Eukaryota; Metazoa; Chordata; Amphibia; Anura; Pelobatidae.